This is an unclassified non-coding RNA of Pongo abelii (Sumatran orangutan), 148 nucleotides long. It matches the Rfam family "Metazoan signal recognition particle RNA". Rfam says of the family: The signal recognition particle (SRP) is a universally conserved ribonucleoprotein. It is involved in the co-translational targeting of proteins to membranes. The record is from Ensembl. NCBI's taxonomy places the organism in Eukaryota, Metazoa, Chordata, Mammalia, Primates, Hominidae.
GCCGGGCGUGGUGGUGCAUGCCUGUAAUCCCAGCUACUCAGGAGGCUGAGGCAGGAGAAUUGCUUGAACCCAGGAGGCGGAAGUUGCAGUGAGCCGAGAUCUGGCCAUUGCACUCCAGCCUGGGUAACAGAGCAAGGCUCCGUCUCAA